AUGAGGUGAGAGCUUCCAUGUGGCAUCCUCCUUGCUAUGAUCUUCUGCCCGAGUAUUGACCUAAAAGAUAACAGACCAAGUGACCAGGACCCAAAACUGCCAAAGCCGACUUGAAGAAUUACCAUUACCCACCCAGCUGCUGGACUGACUCCAGGUUGGGCCGUCAAUGGCUAUGAAUCCAGUCCUAUCGGCUGGAGCCCUGCACAACUGGAACUCAGUGAGCUCAGUGGGAUGUCAGUGUCCUCCGAGGAAGAUCCAGUACCACAAAAGUCUGCGAAAGGCAACUCCAGUUCUGAGAAAGCAGCCCGUGUGUCGUCACCCUUAAGUGCUUAAUAAUUUUCUCCAUACUCCAAUAUAAAACCCGAAUGGAGGCCAAUGUGUUUUAUGUACAAUUGUAAUACUUAUGGAGUAAC
This is a non-coding RNA of Myodes glareolus (Bank vole), 413 nucleotides long. Lineage: Eukaryota; Metazoa; Chordata; Mammalia; Rodentia; Cricetidae. The record is from RefSeq and is a predicted model, not a curated record.